This 667-nucleotide ribosomal RNA is filed under the name uncultured bacterium. RNAcentral's name for it is "bacterial SSU rRNA". It matches the Rfam family "Bacterial small subunit ribosomal RNA", at positions 10 to 663 of the family's 1533-position model. The record is from RNAcentral.
CGUUUGAUCAUGGCUCACAUUGNACGUUGGCGUGCCAGCCUAACACAUGCAAGUCGAACGGUAACAGGAAGCAGCUUGCUGCUUUGCUGACGAGUGGCGGACGGGUGAGUAAUGUCUGGGAAACUGCCUGAUGGGGGGGGAUAACUACUGGAAACGGUAGCUAAUACCGCAUAACGUCGCAAGACCAAAGAGGGGGACCUUCGGGCCUCUUGCCAUCGGAUGUGCCCAGAUGGGAUUAGCUAGUAGGUGGGGUAACGGCUCACCUAGGCGACGAUCCCUAGCUGGUCUGAGAGGAUGACCAGCCACACUGGAACUGAGACACGGUCCAGACUCCUACGGGAGGCAGCAGUGGGGAAUAUCGCACAAUGGGCGCAAGCCUGAUGCAGCCAUGCCGCGUGUAUGAAGAAGGCCUUCGGGUUGUAAAGUACUUUCAGCGGGGAGGAAGGUGUUGAGGUUAAUAACCCCAGCAAUUGACGUUACCCGCAGAAGAAGCACCGGCUAACUCCGUGCCAGCAGCCGCGGUAAUACGGAGGGUGCAAGCGUUAAUCGGAAUUACUGGGCGUAAAGCGCACGCAGGCGGUCUGUCAAGUCNGAUGUGAAAUCCCCGGGCUCAACCUGGGGAACUGCCAUUCGAAACUGGGCAGGCUAAGUCUUGUAGAGGGGGGUA